This 331-nucleotide ribosomal RNA is filed under the name uncultured Planctomycetota bacterium. RNAcentral's name for it is "bacterial SSU rRNA". It matches the Rfam family "Bacterial small subunit ribosomal RNA", at positions 568 to 898 of the family's 1533-position model. The record is from RNAcentral. Lineage: Bacteria; Pseudomonadati; Planctomycetota.
CGCGUAGGCGGUCGUGCACGUCGAGGGUGAAAUCCCCGGGCUUAACCCGGGAACUGCCUUUGAUACGGCGCGACUCGAGUGCGGGAGGGGAGAGUGGAACUCCUGGUGGAGCGGUGAAAUGCGUAGAUAUCAGGAGGAACGCCGGUGGCGAAAGCGACUCUCUGGUCCGCAACUGACGCUGAGGCGCGAAAGCUAGGGGAGCAAACGGGAUUAGAUACCCCGGUAGUCCUAGCCCUAAACUAUGAGCACUAGGUAGCGGCAGGUCCGACUUGUCGCUGCUGAAGCAAAUGUAUUAAGUGCUCCGCCUGGGGAGUAUGGCCGCAAGGCUAAA